Molecule: ribosomal RNA, 561 nt
Filed under: Lactobacillus gasseri
Lineage: Bacteria; Bacillati; Bacillota; Bacilli; Lactobacillales; Lactobacillaceae
Description: bacterial SSU rRNA
Rfam family: Bacterial small subunit ribosomal RNA
Source: RNAcentral
CGUGAGUGAAGAAGGGUUUCGGCUCGUAAAGCUCUGUUGGUAGUGAAGAAAGAUAGAGGCAGUAACUGGCCUUUAUUUGACGGUAAUUACUUAGAAAGUCACGGCUAACUACGUGCCAGCAGCCGCGGUAAUACGUAGGUGGCAAGCGUUGUCCGGAUUUAUUGGGCGUAAGGCGAGUGCAGGCGGUUCAAUAAGUCUGAUGUGAAAGCCUUCGGCUCAACCGGAGAAUUGCAUCAGAAACUGUUGAACUUGAGUGCAGAAGAGGAGAGUGGAACUCCAUGUGUAGCGGUGGAAUGCGUAGAUAUAUGGAAGAACACCAGUGGCGAAGGCGGCUCUCUGGUCUGCAACUGACGCUGAGGCUCGAAAGCAUGGGUAGCGAACAGGAUUAGAUACCCUGGUAGUCCAUGCCGUAAACGAUGAGUGCUAAGUGUUGGGAGGUUUCCGCCUCUCAGUGCUGCAGCUAACGCAUUAAGCACUCCGCCUGGGGAGUACGACCGCAAGGUUGAAACUCAAAGGAAUUGACGGGGGCCCGCACAAGCGGUGGAGCAUGUGGUUUAAUUC